This 208-nucleotide ribosomal RNA is filed under the name uncultured delta proteobacterium. RNAcentral describes it as "partial 16S ribosomal RNA". It matches the Rfam family "Bacterial small subunit ribosomal RNA", at positions 568 to 775 of the family's 1533-position model. The record is from RNAcentral. Lineage: Bacteria; Deltaproteobacteria.
CGCGUAGGCGGUUUGAUAAGUCAGAUGUGAAAGCCCACGGCUUAACUGUGGAAGUGCAUUUGAAACUGUCAGACUUGAGUAUCAGAGGGGAAAGUGGAAUUCCCGGUGUAGAGGUGAAAUUCGUAGAUAUCGGGAGGAAUACCGGUGGCGAAGGCGACUUUCUGGCUGAAUACUGACGCUGAGGCGCGAAAGCGUGGGGAGCAAAACA